CACGUAGGUGACUUGCCCCGAAGAUGGGGAUAACCUCUGGAAACGGGGGCUAAUACCCAAUGUGCUCGGUGAUUCGGUUGAUCGAGUAAAGCUCCGGCGCUUCGGGAGAGGCCUGCGGCCCAUCAACUAGUUGGUAGGGUAACGGCCUACCAAGGCAGAGACGGGUAGGGGGCGUGAGAGCGCGGACCCCCACACUGGCACUGCGACACGGGCCAGACUCCUACGGGAGGCAGCAGUAAGGAAUAUUGCGCAAUGGACGAAAGUCAGACGCAGCGACGCCGCGUGGGCGAUGAAGGCCUUCGGGUUGUAAAGCCCUUUUAAGGGGGAAGAGAAAAAGGACGGUACCCCAUGAAUAAGUCCCGGCUAACUACGUGCCAGCAGCCGCGGUAAAACGUAGGGGACAAGCGUUAUCCGGAUUCACUGGGCGUAAAGAGCGUUGAGGCGGUUCCGUAAGUUGGGCGUGAAAGCUCCGGGCUUAACCCGGAGAUGUCGUUCAAUACUGCGGGGCUUGAGGACAGCAGAGGAAGGUGGAAUUCCCGGUGUAGUGGUGAAAUGCGUAGAUAUCGGGAGGAACACCCGUGGCGAAGGCGGCCUUCUGGGCUGUUCCUGACGCUGAAGGCGAAAGCUAGGGGAGCGAACGGGAUUAGAUACCCCGGUAGUCCUAGCUGUAAACGAUGGAUGCUGGGUGUGGGGGGUGUAAAUUCCCUCUGUGCCGAAGCAAACGCGUUAAGCAUCCCGCCUGGGGACUACGGCCGCAAGGCUAAAACUCAAACGAAUUGACGGGGGCCCGCACAAGCAGCGGAGCGUGUGGUUUAAUUCGAUGCUACACGAAGAACCUUACCUGGGUUUGACAUGCACGUGGUAGGGAACCGAAAGGGGACCGACCUUCGGGAGCGUGCACAGGUGCUGCAUGGCUGUCGUCAGCUCGUGCUGUGAGGUGUCGGGUUAAGUCCCGUAACGAGCGCAGCCCUUGCCCUUAGUUACAAGUGUCUAAGGGGACUGCCCGGGACAACUGGGAGGAAGGUGGGGAUGAUGUCAAGUCAGCAUGUCCUUUAUAUCCAGG
Molecule: ribosomal RNA, 1063 nt
Filed under: uncultured organism
Description: bacterial SSU rRNA
Rfam family: Bacterial small subunit ribosomal RNA
Source: RNAcentral